CCACAACAUGCUGACCUACGGGAAUACGUUUUGAGUAGGAGAUGGAUUAACAUGUCACAAAGGGCGUGGGCUACUGCUGACAGAAAACACACAGGACAGUCCGGCCGCUGUCUUUGGCAGUGUUGGACAGAUGCUUGACCAAGGCCCGGCUGACCAAACGGGGGUUCGGGCGGUCGGUACCGGACGGUCUGUACGCGUCAUCACUGUACGCAGGCGGGAGGUCCCGGGACAGCGGCAUUCCUGAAACACGAAAUCAACGAUCUCAGACUUCCGUGAAAUGUCUUCGUCAUGUGACGUUCACAAUUGAAUCAACAUAGACGAACGUGUCAGAGGGAGUAAAAGAUUUGGUACUUGCCGGUGGAUCCAUAGUCCGGA
Branchiostoma floridae (Florida lancelet) is the source of this 375-nucleotide long non-coding RNA. RefSeq lists it as uncharacterized. NCBI's taxonomy places the organism in Eukaryota, Metazoa, Chordata, Leptocardii, Amphioxiformes, Branchiostomatidae. The transcript is spliced from 3 exons. The record is from RefSeq and is a predicted model, not a curated record.